UCUGGUGUCAGCCGCCGCGGUAAAACCAGCACCUCAAGUGGUCAGGAUGAUUAUUGGGCCUAAAGCAUCCGUAGCCUGCUUUGUUAGUUUUCGGUUAAAUCCAUACGCUCAACGUAUGGGCUGCCGGGAAUACUGCAAAGCUAGGGAGUGGGAGAGGUAGACGGUACUCGGUAGGAAGGGGUAAAAUCCUUUGACCUAUUGAUGACCACCUGUGGCGAAGGCGGUCUACCAGAACACGUCCGACGGUGAGGGAUGAAAGCUGGGGGAGCAAACCGGAUUAGAUACCCGGGUAGUCCCAGCUGUAAACUAUGCAAACUCGGUGAUGCAUUGGCUUGAUGCCAAUGCAGUGCCGCAGGGAAGCCGUUAAGUUUGCCGCCUGGGAAGUACGUACGCAAGUAUGAAACUUAAAG
Molecule: ribosomal RNA, 410 nt
Filed under: uncultured Nitrososphaerota archaeon
Lineage: Archaea; Thermoproteati; Nitrososphaerota
Description: bacterial SSU rRNA
Rfam family: Archaeal small subunit ribosomal RNA
Source: RNAcentral